CCGCCACUGGCUCACCCGGACAGAUUUCUAAGCUGUAGGUACGAGGUUCGACUCCCCGGUGGCGGACCA
Molecule: transfer RNA, 69 nt
Filed under: Salmonella enterica subsp. enterica serovar Infantis
Lineage: Bacteria; Pseudomonadati; Pseudomonadota; Gammaproteobacteria; Enterobacterales; Enterobacteriaceae
Also listed under: 62 other names
Description: tRNA-Arg
Source: RNAcentral